UUUGGAGUCAAAGGUAAAUCCAUGAGUUGACCACUUAUUGCUGUGAGACCCUGGACAGCCAGAUAUAGAGUUCUUGUUCUAGCACUGGCCCUAGGAAUCCCCAGAACUGGGCCUCUUACCCACACCACUGCCUGUAAUCCACAAACCUAUGAGGACAUUACUUUCCAUCUAAAAAGUAAUAAUGUGAAAACCACAUAGGGUGAAUGGUAUAGAGCCGAGAAGUGCCUGCUCCGGAGGCUGCAAGCUCGGGCUCCCGCAGCACAGCUGCUGCCCACUCUGCUGGAGGCCUCUUCUGGGUGCAUCUUCAUGAGUUACAAGAAGCACAUUACUUUGACCCCAAAGGGAACACUACACUUCCUUAAAAAUUAAGAGUGUGUGCUACACUGCUUUACUAGAGCAAGACCAAAAGCAGCUUCAAUUAUGGUACAACUGUGUGAAGACACAAUGCAAAACCACUCAAGAAUGCUCACUCAAAUGGAUCUUUUACGAUGGAAUUCGGAAACGGGACCCAGAAAGUUGUUUCCUGCAAGUGGCUGGAACAACACAAGCAAUAAGUAUCCUGAAACAGGCCCUG
RNAcentral lists this non-coding RNA (574 nucleotides) under Pongo abelii (Sumatran orangutan). The record is from RNAcentral. Lineage: Eukaryota; Metazoa; Chordata; Mammalia; Primates; Hominidae.